RNAcentral lists this ribosomal RNA (395 nucleotides) under uncultured bacterium. RNAcentral describes it as "partial 16S ribosomal RNA". It matches the Rfam family "Bacterial small subunit ribosomal RNA", at positions 523 to 918 of the family's 1533-position model. The record is from RNAcentral.
AUACGUAGGGAGCGAGCGUUGUCCGGAAUUACUGGGUGUAAAGGGAGCGUAGGCGGGAGUGCAAGUCAGAUGUGAAAUACAUGGGCUCAACCCAUGGGCUGCAUUUGAAACUGCAUUUCUUGAGUGAAGUAGAGGUAAGCGGAAUUCCUGGUGUAGCGGUGAAAUGCGUAGAUAUCAGGAGGAACACCGGUGGCGAAGGCGGCUUACUGGGCUUUUACUGACGCUGAGGCUCGAAAGCGUGGGGAGCAAACAGGAUUAGAUACCCUGGUAGUCCACGCUGUAAACGAUGAUUACUAGGUGUGGGGGGACUGACCCCUUCCGUGCCGCAGUUAACACAAUAAGUAAUCCACCUGGGAGUACGGCCGCAAGGUUGAAACUCAAAUGAAUUGACGGGG